Long non-coding RNA from Pristis pectinata (smalltooth sawfish), 180 nucleotides. RefSeq lists it as uncharacterized. Lineage: Eukaryota; Metazoa; Chordata; Chondrichthyes; Rhinopristiformes; Pristidae. The transcript is spliced from 3 exons. The record is from RefSeq and is a predicted model, not a curated record.
GUCAGAUGCUCAUUUUCUGCUAAGGUUUGAGGAAAAAUGUAUAUACCUUCAAGCACGGCACUGCACAGAAGCAGCGAUUCUGAUAACAAUGGUCCAGAUGCAUCAGCUCCCGAAGUGGGAUGGUCAAGUCUGUAAACUUCAGAAUGCUGCUUAUCUGAUGCUGUGUCUGUGUGAUGCUGC